Molecule: ribosomal RNA, 819 nt
Filed under: Triticum aestivum (bread wheat)
Lineage: Eukaryota; Viridiplantae; Streptophyta; Magnoliopsida; Poales; Poaceae
Description: partial small subunit ribosomal RNA
Source: RNAcentral
AUGUUAUUGCUGUUGGCCCUGCUGCUGCUAUGUAACAAUGGAAUCGGUGACGUUGAAGGCUCAACGAUCCAUGAUAGUAGCAUCGUCGAUCUGCAUGCGCUGCUCGAUUUCAAGCUGGGUAUCACCGACGAUCCACGAGGAGCAUUAAGCAACUGGAGCAACAACACCCACUUCUGUCGGUGGAAUGGUGUAAACUGCACCACGACACCACCGUUUCGUGUUAGGGUGCUUAACCUCUCCGGCCUGAACAUAACAGGCAAAAUUAGGUCCUCUCUGGGAAACAUGACCUUCCUUGCAUGGCUCGACCUUUCAUCUAAUAACUUUGUUGGCCCCAUACUUACCCUUGACCGUCUCCAACAACUAGACACACUUUACCUGUACGACAACCAUCUACAUGGGACGAUUCCUGAUUCACUUACCAACUGUUCCAGCUUGGCCCUAGUGGGUGUAAUUCCUCCGAAACUACACUUUCUUUCACAUCUUUUCUACUUUAACCUCUCAUUAAACUCCAUAGUUGGUCAAAUCCCUCCGAAACUAGGAUUUCUUUCAGAUCUGACCGUCUUAGAUCUCUCAGUAAACUCGCUAGUGGGUCAAAUUCCUCCCAAACUAGGCCUCCUUUCAAAUCUGAUCUACUUGGAUCUCUCCAUAAACUUGCUAGUGGGUCAAAUUCCUCCAAGUUUAGGCUUUCUUCCAAAUCUAGCAUAUAUCCAUCUUCGAUCAAAUCAACUUGAGGGAAGCAUUCCUCGCGAGCUUGGGCAAUUGCUUGAACUAAAAGAGUUGUUCCUGAGCGAUAAUAAGCUUUCAGGUGAACUAGUAUAG